AUUGAACGCUGGCGGCAUGCCUUACACAUGCAAGUCGAACGGCAGCACGGGAGCAAUCCUGGUGGCGAGUGGCGAACGGGUGAGUAAUAUAUCGGAACGUGCCCAGUCGUGGGGAUAACGUAGCGAAAGCUACGCUAAUACCGCAUACGAUCUAUGGAUGAAAGCGGGGAUCGCAAGACCUCGCGCGAUUGGAGCGGCCGAUAUCAGAUUAGGUAGUUGGUGAGGUAAAGGCUCACCAAGCCGACGAUCUGUAGCUGGUCUGAGAGGACGACCAGCCACACUGGGACUGAGACACGGCCCAGACUCCUACGGGAGGCAGCAGUGGGAAAUUUUGGACAAUGGGCGCAAGCCUGAUCCAGCAAUGCCGCGUGCAGGAUGAAGGCCUU
This 386-nucleotide ribosomal RNA is filed under the name uncultured bacterium. Its description in RNAcentral is "bacterial SSU rRNA". It matches the Rfam family "Bacterial small subunit ribosomal RNA", at positions 30 to 418 of the family's 1533-position model. The record is from RNAcentral.